UACGAAGGGUGCAAGCGUUGUUCGGAAUUACUGGGUGUAAAGGGCGUGUAGGCUGGCGGUCAAGUUAGUGGUGAAACCCCUGGGCUUAACCUGGGAACUGCCAUUGAUACUGAUUGCCUAGAGUAUCGGAGAGGAUAACGGAAUAUCCAGUGUAGAGGUGAAAUUCGUAGAUAUUGGAUAGAACACCGGUGGCGAAGGCGGUUAUCUGGCCGGUUACUGACGCUGAGGCGCGAGAGCGUGGGGAGCAAACAGG
Molecule: ribosomal RNA, 253 nt
Filed under: uncultured bacterium
Lineage: Bacteria
Description: partial 16S ribosomal RNA
Rfam family: Bacterial small subunit ribosomal RNA
Source: RNAcentral